This 2893-nucleotide ribosomal RNA is filed under the name Escherichia coli. RNAcentral describes it as "bacterial LSU rRNA". It matches the Rfam family "Bacterial large subunit ribosomal RNA". Lineage: Bacteria; Pseudomonadati; Pseudomonadota; Gammaproteobacteria; Enterobacterales; Enterobacteriaceae. The record is from RNAcentral.
GGGUUGUGAGGUUAAGCGACUAAGCGUACACGGUGGAUGCCCUGGCAGUCAGAGGCGAUGAAGGACGUGCUAAUCUGCGAUAAGCGUCGGUAAGGUGAUAUGAACCGUUAUAACCGGCGAUUUCCGAAUGGGGAAACCCAGUGUGUUUCGACACACUAUCAUUAACUGAAUCCAUAGGUUAAUGAGGCGAACCGGGGGAACUGAAACAUCUAAGUACCCCGAGGAAAAGAAAUCAACCGAGAUUCCCCCAGUAGCGGCGAGCGAACGGGGAGCAGCCCAGAGCCUGAAUCAGUGUGUGUGUUAGUGGAAGCGUCUGGAAAGGCGCGCGAUACAGGGUGACAGCCCCGUACACAAAAAUGCACAUGCUGUGAGCUCGAUGAGUAGGGCGGGACACGUGGUAUCCUGUCUGAAUAUGGGGGGACCAUCCUCCAAGGCUAAAUACUCCUGACUGACCGAUAGUGAACCAGUACCGUGAGGGAAAGGCGAAAAGAACCCCGGCGAGGGGAGUGAAAAAGAACCUGAAACCGUGUACGUACAAGCAGUGGGAGCCUCUUUUAUGGGGUGACUGCGUACCUUUUGUAUAAUGGGUCAGCGACUUAUAUUCUGUAGCAAGGUUAACCGAAUAGGGGAGCCGAAGGGAAACCGAGUCUUAACUGGGCGUUAAGUUGCAGGGUAUAGACCCGAAACCCGGUGAUCUAGCCAUGGGCAGGUUGAAGGUUGGGUAACACUAACUGGAGGACCGAACCGACUAAUGUUGAAAAAUUAGCGGAUGACUUGUGGCUGGGGGUGAAAGGCCAAUCAAACCGGGAGAUAGCUGGUUCUCCCCGAAAGCUAUUUAGGUAGCGCCUCGUGAAUUCAUCUCCGGGGGUAGAGCACUGUUUCGGCAAGGGGGUCAUCCCGACUUACCAACCCGAUGCAAACUGCGAAUACCGGAGAAUGUUAUCACGGGAGACACACGGCGGGUGCUAACGUCCGUCGUGAAGAGGGAAACAACCCAGACCGCCAGCUAAGGUCCCAAAGUCAUGGUUAAGUGGGAAACGAUGUGGGAAGGCCCAGACAGCCAGGAUGUUGGCUUAGAAGCAGCCAUCAUUUAAAGAAAGCGUAAUAGCUCACUGGUCGAGUCGGCCUGCGCGGAAGAUGUAACGGGGCUAAACCAUGCACCGAAGCUGCGGCAGCGACGCUUAUGCGUUGUUGGGUAGGGGAGCGUUCUGUAAGCCUGUGAAGGUGUGCUGUGAGGCAUGCUGGAGGUAUCAGAAGUGCGAAUGCUGACAUAAGUAACGAUAAAGCGGGUGAAAAGCCCGCUCGCCGGAAGACCAAGGGUUCCUGUCCAACGUUAAUCGGGGCAGGGUGAGUCGACCCCUAAGGCGAGGCCGAAAGGCGUAGUCGAUGGGAAACAGGUUAAUAUUCCUGUACUUGGUGUUACUGCGAAGGGGGGACGGAGAAGGCUAUGUUGGCCGGGCGACGGUUGUCCCGGUUUAAGCGUGUAGGCUGGUUUUCCAGGCAAAUCCGGAAAAUCAAGGCUGAGGCGUGAUGACGAGGCACUACGGUGCUGAAGCAACAAAUGCCCUGCUUCCAGGAAAAGCCUCUAAGCAUCAGGUAACAUCAAAUCGUACCCCAAACCGACACAGGUGGUCAGGUAGAGAAUACCAAGGCGCUUGAGAGAACUCGGGUGAAGGAACUAGGCAAAAUGGUGCCGUAACUUCGGGAGAAGGCACGCUGAUAUGUAGGUGAAGCGACUUGCUCGUGGAGCUGAAAUCAGUCGAAGAUACCAGCUGGCUGCAACUGUUUAUUAAAAACACAGCACUGUGCAAACACGAAAGUGGACGUAUACGGUGUGACGCCUGCCCGGUGCCGGAAGGUUAAUUGAUGGGGUCAGCGCAAGCGAAGCUCUUGAUCGAAGCCCCGGUAAACGGCGGCCGUAACUAUAACGGUCCUAAGGUAGCGAAAUUCCUUGUCGGGUAAGUUCCGACCUGCACGAAUGGCGUAAUGAUGGCCAGGCUGUCUCCACCCGAGACUCAGUGAAAUUGAACUCGCUGUGAAGAUGCAGUGUACCCGCGGCAAGACGGAAAGACCCCGUGAACCUUUACUAUAGCUUGACACUGAACAUUGAGCCUUGAUGUGUAGGAUAGGUGGGAGGCUUUGAAGUGUGGACGCCAGUCUGCAUGGAGCCGACCUUGAAAUACCACCCUUUAAUGUUUGAUGUUCUAACGUUGACCCGUAAUCCGGGUUGCGGACAGUGUCUGGUGGGUAGUUUGACUGGGGCGGUCUCCUCCUAAAGAGUAACGGAGGAGCACGAAGGUUGGCUAAUCCUGGUCGGACAUCAGGAGGUUAGUGCAAUGGCAUAAGCCAGCUUGACUGCGAGCGUGACGGCGCGAGCAGGUGCGAAAGCAGGUCAUAGUGAUCCGGUGGUUCUGAAUGGAAGGGCCAUCGCUCAACGGAUAAAAGGUACUCCGGGGAUAACAGGCUGAUACCGCCCAAGAGUUCAUAUCGACGGCGGUGUUUGGCACCUCGAUGUCGGCUCAUCACAUCCUGGGGCUGAAGUAGGUCCCAAGGGUAUGGCUGUUCGCCAUUUAAAGUGGUACGCGAGCUGGGUUUAGAACGUCGUGAGACAGUUCGGUCCCUAUCUGCCGUGGGCGCUGGAGAACUGAGGGGGGCUGCUCCUAGUACGAGAGGACCGGAGUGGACGCAUCACUGGUGUUCGGGUUGUCAUGCCAAUGGCACUGCCCGGUAGCUAAAUGCGGAAGAGAUAAGUGCUGAAAGCAUCUAAGCACGAAACUUGCCCCGAGAUGAGUUCUCCCUGACUCCUUGAGAGUCCUGAAGGAACGUUGAAGACGACGACGUUGAUAGGCCGGGUGUGUAAGCGCAGCGAUGCGUUGAGCUAACCGGUACUAAU